UGUAUGUGAAAGGGGAGGAUGAAAUCUGCCCCUGUCAGAUACUGGCUGCUGUUAAAAAUAGACAUGUCUCUGGUAAGAAAUCUUGGGAUGGGGUAUUGCUGGCAACCUGAUCAAACCUAUCACUUUGCAAUUUUUGCUUUCCUACUUUGUUUUUUGUUUUCCCCCAGUUACAUGAAUGCAUUGUUGCUCAGAGGUUUGUUACUUAUUUUAAACAAACUCUUCCAUACAGUAGUUCCAGCAACCUAGAAAAGACACAAGUUGUUCUGCAAGGGUCAACAAUUCAUAUUAUAUAUUCUAUUUAUAUAAUUUAGCCAGUGUUAGAGCUUUAUCCCAAUAUCAUUUGAUCAUUGUGGGAAAAGUAAUGUGAAUAAUAUUUAAGAUAAAACUGAAAACAGGACUUAAUAACAUUCCUUGUCUGCUGCAAAACAGCCUUAGGAUCUUGACAGCAUCUCAUUCAGUACAGGCAUAUUCAUGAUAUUGCUGUGAGCUCCUGAGAGUUACUCUGCUGCACUCAAGAGUAUUACUGGUGGUAUUUCUGCCGGCAGUCUGCUCAGCCCCUUGCUACCAAAAGUGUUUGUCAGACUCAUUUUGUGAUGUAUGUGGCCUUUUGAGGUCUCCAGUUAAAAGAAGUGUUAAAGCUACAAGACAUUCUUAGCUGUUGACAGCUACAAGACAUUUUCCUAAUCAAAAGAAGUGAGUUCAGAGUGUGGUUGUUAUUGGUGCUCCUGUUCUUUUUUAAACUUCCUUACAGUAAUUGUGCCAAAUGUCACUCUUUGAAGAACAUAAAGGAGCUGAUCAAGUUAAAUUCCAAGAUUGCUUUAUCAUCAUAAAAGGGUAAGGAGUGACUGCAAAUAUUCUUUAUGAAAACCAAAUGGAGGGCUUAAGUUUCUUUCCCUGUUUUUUCUUGAGUGGAGUAAAUCCCAAUUUGUGGUGGCAGGUAUGAGAGGACAAGAAUCCCAGGCAACAAUCCAAGGCAGAAUGCAUCCCAACACCUAAAAAUGAAAUAAUUGAGAGUUGGUUCCUUCUUGCACACUUGACAAUUAGUGAAGAAAGUCACUCUUUCCUCCAGCAGAAAAAAUGUCCUGCUUUGCUUUACUGGCAUUUUCCUAUUGGUGUUUGUUAAGUGUCUCUUCUGGAGCAUGAAUGACCCUACAGCAGAGAGCUGCUAGUAUCUUCUACUCUGUGCAAUAAAAGCAAUUUGGCUUCACUUUUGAGGCUUCAGAGUGGAACUUUACAAGUUUUAAAGAAAUGUAUGUAUGUUGGUGUGUAUGUCAUACAUACACACAGAGCUGUGUAUCUACAUAUAAGGGCAAACUCAUAGUUUAUUAAUGUUCUUGUGGCUGUAAAUACUGAUGAUAUCGGGAAAUGUAACAUGACCUUAUAAAAACCAGUGUAUUAGCACAUGGUAAAGUACAGGCUCCCAUUGUAACUCAGUUGCUAUUUGCUAAUUAACAAAAUUAACUUUCUCAGACACAAAUGGGAAUUAUUGAGUUUUAACUGUUGUUUUGAUUUUUGGUUUUUAAAAAUUUCCAUGGCUAACCUCUUCUUUAUCAGAUGUUCUUCAAGGUUAGCUUGUGUAAUGCAGUGCUGAGAGCAGCUGAAUUUUUUUGCUGGUGCUGGUGACUCCAAAUCUCCUGCACAUCUGCAGUGUGCACCUACUGCCCUGGAGCAGAGGUACCUGCAGUUGCCUGGCUUUCACUCGCAGGUAUAUAGGAAAUCUGUUGUGGUAUUUGAUGUAAUCGUCUCAGUUUCAUUUUGGGGGGUGGAUUUGAGAUCUGAGAUCUCAGCAGAGUUUAGACAAUGUGAUCAUGCUGAAAUGCAGUAUUGGACAGAAGUGGUAAAUAUGCUUACUCAGAGAUCCAGCUGUCAAUUCUUCUAAAAACUGCUGGAUGUGGAUACCAUUUCUGGGACCACAAUGAAAAAGAAAAGUUUGCUUUGGGAAUUGUGCUGUCCUUAGUCAACAUCUUUUUCCAAGUAUAUAAUAAACUUGCCCUGUUGCUGUGUGAGCUCAUGAGCGGAUUGGCAAUGUAGUAGUGAGCCUUUUGAUGUCAAAACAUUACAAUGCACUUAGAGUUGCCAUUGGCUAAUGCUAUUUUAAGUGAGAGAGAGAGUAUGAAUGAGAGUUACAGUAAUGGGCAUUCAUUUGUAGGUCACUGAAGGAUGGAAAGCCUCACGCUGCCUGCAUGUGUGAACUUGGCUGUUGAUCUGCAUAGCAGCAGGACCUGGGGUUCCCUGCAAGUCGUAAGCCGUAUCUCAGGACUGGAAUUCCAGUUUCAUUGCCUGUACACACUAGGAGGACAUCGAAGAUGUUUCUGACAAGGAAGGAGUGGAAUUAUUGGGAGAAUUCAUGGACAGCCAGGAUGGAGUUCCACCUGCAGACUUUCCAGUUGCAGAUUUGAACUGAAAUUCCCACGAGAAGAAUGUUUUGUGUGGUCAUUUCAUGGUGUUUGCGGCCUCUGCCAUGGUUAUAGAACUCAGUGCACUCCUGUGGUCUCCACAUGUCUCCAGUUCCACUUUCCAAAUGCUGUGUCCACUGGAGCUACCCUUAAGUACCCACAGGGGAUCAGUAGGAAGUACUUUAGCCCUCUGCGCACCCCACACUGGCAUUUAGCAAAACAAAUCAAUAUGACAAGACUGCAUUAAUCAGUCUCAAUUAAUCAGAUGAUACCUACUAUUUUAUAUACACAGGCUCUUCUAAGUUACUACAGGGCACCUUCACAUUCUUGCUGAUGUCCUCCCUAUAUGUGGUGCACUGGAAGAGGUGGGGCAGUUUACCUCUGCAUACAGUUUACAUACAGGGACAGAAAGACAAGGAGCUUCAACUGGAUGGGAGCCCUGUCCUCUGAAGAAGUUACUUGUGAAGAGCCAGAAAGAAAAUCAUUAAAUCUGGUAACUGCAUUGAAGUGAGUUUGUAACACAAAUGGACACAGCACAAUUUUCCACAUUCCUUCUGGAUUGGCACUGUGUUGGGAAAGAUGAUAAAGAAAAUUUCUGCUGUGCUGGUUAUAUUUAUGAUAGAUGAAAGCCCCUCUAAAGAUGACACCCUCUUGCUCUCUUUCAUGAUCUUCUGAUGUAUCUUAAGUCUUGAUUGCUGGCUAAGGUAGCAACAUGGAUAAUCAAGCUUUUAAAGGCCCUAUUUAAUAAAUCUUAUAACAACAUUAAGAGAAGCUGAGGUGUAUUCUUCUCUUACAGUGUACCAUUAAAAGAACUGGUAUCACAUUUUCCCUCUAAAAUAGCUCCCAAAAAUUAUCUAAGCUGACUUUGAGGCUCCAGUAGGAUGGCCAUGCAAACCUUCCUGCUUCCUUCUUUAGAAAGAAAAGGGACACUGCAUGAGAGACACUUUUCAAAGUAUUCCUCACCAUCAGCCCAGUGCUGAGGGAUUUGGUGCCCUGCAGCUAGGAAUACUUAGAAGUGUCAUGCAUGUCAGGCCAGUCCUGAGUUGCUAAGUCCCUCUAAAGGGAUUUUGCCAAAAAAGGAGAGGAAUUUAUCACCUAUUAGAACAUAGUUUGGCUGUACUAUGCAAGCAAUUUAAUAAACUCUUUCUGUAGGAGUAGUGGCAGGUUUUGAAAUGAAAGAAGUAGGGCUGCUUCAUUUGCACCGAAGAAUUUUUGCUGUUGACUUCACUGGAGCCAUGGCUCCUUACCAGAUCCAUAUCCUAAAGGGCUAAAGUGCCCUUAAAGGAGUGGCUGCAAAUCGUAAUCUGAGUCCUCAGCUGACAUGACAACCAGCACCAUUCCUGCUUAGGAUCUUGCCCUGCAAACCUGUAACCCCCUAUCUAUAGUAGUCACUCAGUAUUCUAUUUGCCCCCAACUAUUUUUACUGGAACUUCUGUUAAUAAUAAAGAGCAUCUCCUUUCAAAGAAGUGUUUAAAGGCAAAUUAUACUACUGAGUACAUAGUGUUUCAGUGCUUGGGCUUCAAACACUCUGGAACAGACUGAUUUGUUUAAUAGCUACAGUCCUGACUGGAAUGUUUUUAAACUGUGUAAACAUUUCUACUAGUUUUAUGGGUUGCUAAACUUUUUUCUUUUUUCUUUUUUCCUUUUUCUUUUUUUUAAUGCGGGUACAAAUUUAACUUGACAGUGUACUUUCCAAGCCUCCAUUAAAUAGGGCCAACUUGCUAUUGAUAGAGAAAUAUCUCUGGAAUAACUUUAUGAUGCCUUGCAAUAGAAGAUUUUUCAUUAACUCUGCCUAGAAAGAGAAACCCAACCUAACAUGGCUUUGUGAGUUCUUACUGUGCCUUGAUGUCUGUGAGACCCCUGCUGGUGGAAAGGUGAAGAGAUGGGAAUGAAAAACUCCAAGAUAAUUUAAUGGAGAAAGGAAUUUAUUUUCAGAGUAUGUUGUGUUUGCCAGCCACUGUUAUCAUGCAGCCACCAAAGACCUCAGUGCUUUGAAAUUUCUCACUUACAGGUUGCAGUUUGUUGGUGCUUUCCUCACAUAAUUGUGUUUUAUCUCUCUUCAAGUGUGUCAGUGCUGCUUUAAAAGAUCAGUAUAGAAAUAUUCAGCUACACCGUCUGGUUUCAGUUUUCCUUAAUUUGGUGUCAGCCAAGAUCAAUCUUAUACAGCCUGGAUGAUUCAAAAGGACAGAGUUAAACCUGUUGCAUUUUAGGGAUUUAAGCCUUCCUUUUCCUCCUGUAAAUUUUGACCUUUUCAAAAUGGGCUUCCCCCUCCCCCUCAAGAAAGUGGAACAUAAAAUAAAUGUUUGCUACUUUUCCAGAGGAGCCAAAUUCCAUGCAUUCUGGCUGCUUUUUACUCACACAAAAAUUAUUCCAAAAUAAUUUAUCAUUAUUUACAAAAUGACACUGUAUGUUACUGUAACAGUAACAGCUAACUUGGCCCUUUGAAAGUUAAGUACUUUCUCAAGAAAUUUCAAUCUAAGAGGCAAAACACUGAUCAUGGUGACCUUGGGAAAAUACAACCUCAAGAAAGUAGUGGAUGUUUGUGAUUAUUUUGAAAUCUCCCAGCUGCAUCAGUUUCCCAUUGAGGCAAUUUGUGCUUGUGUCACACCCCACAGAGUGGUUCUUUUGCUUUCCCCGUCUGCAGCCUGGGUCCUGGAGAGGUAAAGGAGCAGGGGCAGCUUUAGUCCCUUCUGCUGAUGAGUUUCCUGGGGAAGGAAAAUGUGCUGUGCAUAAAAAAAAUAAAAAUCUAUGUAACUGUUGCCUGAUUGUUUGUCUGGUGAUGGGACUAAGCAGAGUUGUGGUGGGUACCAAUCCAUGCCAUGUAGAUUUGUUUCCUCUGUUCCCGAUAGCGUGACUGAGCCUUGGGAACAGUUAGUGGGAUCAUUGAUGAGCUGCUGAAUUCUUCCUUGUCUACUUUCUUUUGUCUAGGUUGCCUCAAAUUAUCACUGAAUUUUAUUGUUUUUAUACACACACAACUUUUAAAUCCACACAGAUGACACUUUUGGUGAAAAUGCAUUACACAUGUCUCAGACUUCGCAGCUGUUAGAGCACCAAUGAAGGAAAUACAUUUGGUAACUGAGCUGGGAAAGAAAGGUGCUUGGAGAUGCAGUUUCUAAUGCUUUCUUAUAGAUAUUCCCAUUAGACCAUACAAAGAACUCUUUCUGACUAUAUUAAGAAAGAAACAGGAGAAUAUAAUUUUUUAAAGAAAUCUUUUAAAACUAAAAUGUUUGGGAGCUUGAUUAAAUGUACUGUGAGAAAAAUGUGCAGUUCACUUACAGCUAUUGACUUGAGGUUUAUGCAGUAUUGCCAAGUGCUGGA
This is a long non-coding RNA of Poecile atricapillus (Black-capped chickadee), 5714 nucleotides long. RefSeq lists it as uncharacterized. The transcript is spliced from 3 exons. The record is from RefSeq and is a predicted model, not a curated record. Lineage: Eukaryota; Metazoa; Chordata; Aves; Passeriformes; Paridae.